ACACACACACACAUUUUAGCCCAUUUGGCCUAAAUCUUUAAGUCUAUUGUUUCCUUAUUUAUUUUCUGUCCUGUUGAUCUGUCAAAUGAUGAGAACAGGGCGUUGACAUCCCCUGCCACAAAUAUGUUUUUUUCCAAUAGAUUUGAUACUUUUUAGGCUGUUGUAGAUAAUGCUGGUAAGAAAUUUAUUACAUAAAUACGCUUGGUGCUUUCUAAAAGUCAUACAAAAUGACCUAAAACACAUCGCUCUUUUCCUUUUUUGCUUGGAAAAGAUGUCAAUCAUGGAUAUUACAUCAUUUGAGAGACACUGGUACAAGAAUGUAUGCCAAAAACAAGUUGAAAUAGGAACAAGCUUGCAGAUAAUUUAAAUAAUCCAAUAUGAUUAGUAAGCAUAAAGUGUGUGCCUCAUGCAGGCUGAAAACUAUUUUGCUUAACUUGCAUAUUGCUUUACAAAAACAGAUAAAAAUGAGAAGAUCUGACACCAACUUCCUUACUUAUUCUCAUACAGACAAUAACUGCUUUCAACUAGAGCUGAGUUAUGACUGCCUCCUUUAGAUGGCACGUGUAUUCUUCAGUUUGUCUUGGUUUCUUUCAGAUGAAGGCAUUGAAGCUUGCACAAGUUCUCCUGACAAAGUCAAUAUAAAUGACAUCAUCCUGAUUGCUCUCAAUACAGACUUGAGAACAAUUGGCAAGAAAUUCCUCCCCAGUGACAUCAAUGGUGGAAAGGUAGACAAGGUAAUGAAAUGUGUUGAUGUCCUAAGUUAUACAAACCACAAUAAAUAUGAACAUCUAUUAAAUUACUGCAAUUUUUUUUUUUUGUCAAUAGAAACAGCAACUACAAAAUAUUUGGAGGUAAACAGGUCACAGAGUCAUCAUAGUGACUUUCUAUAUACGUGGAUAUACAUGGAAAAUGAUCAAGAU
This is a long non-coding RNA of Talpa occidentalis (Iberian mole), 920 nucleotides long. RefSeq lists it as uncharacterized. Lineage: Eukaryota; Metazoa; Chordata; Mammalia; Eulipotyphla; Talpidae. The record is from RefSeq and is a predicted model, not a curated record. The transcript has 3 exons.